AUAAACGCUGGCGGCGUGCAUAACACCUGCAAGUCGAACGAUGAAGAUUAAAAGAUUUCUUCGGAAUGAACUUAAUUGGAUUAGUGGCGGACGGGUGAGUAACGCGUGAGUAACCUGCCUUGUACAAGGGGAUAGCCGUUGGAAACGACGAAUAAUACCCUAUGACAUCAAAUAAUCGCAUGAUAAUUUGAUCAAAGAUUUAUCGGUAUAAGAUGGACUCGCGUCUGAUUAGCUAGUUGGUAGAGUAAAAGCCUACCAAGGCAACGAUCAGUAGCCGGCUUGAGAGAGUGUACGGCCACAUUGGGACUGAGACACGGCCCAGACUCCUACGGGAGGCAGCAGUGGGGAAUUUUGCACAAUGGGGGAAACCCUGAUGCAGCGACGCCGCGUGAUUUAGAAGGCCUUCGGGUUGUAAAAAUCUUUUGUAUGGGAAGAAAAUGACAGUACCAUACGAAUAAGGACCGGCUAAUUACGUG
RNAcentral lists this ribosomal RNA (476 nucleotides) under uncultured bacterium. RNAcentral describes it as "partial 16S ribosomal RNA". It matches the Rfam family "Bacterial small subunit ribosomal RNA", at positions 29 to 507 of the family's 1533-position model. The record is from RNAcentral.